GAUGAAGAACGCAGCGAAAUGCGAUACUUGGUGUGAAUUGCAGAAUCCCGUGAACCAUCGAGUCUUUGAACGCAAGUUGCGCCCGAAGCCAUUAGGCCGAGGGCACGCCUGCCUGGGCGUCACACGUCGUUGCCCCCCCAUCUACUCCUUCGGGAUUGCGGGGGGCGGAUGAUGGCCUCCCGUGCGCCUCGCCGCGCGGUUGGCAUAAAUGCCAAGUCCUCGGCGACGCACGCCACGACAAUCGGUGGUUGCGAAACCUCGGUUGCCCGUCGUGUGCGGUCGUCGCGCAUCGAGGGCUCGAAAAAAUUGCCGGGUUCCGGCUCGGCUUUCAACGCGACCCCAGGUCAGGCGGGGUUACCCGCUGAAUUUAAGCAUAUCAAUAAGCGGAA
This 389-nucleotide unclassified non-coding RNA is filed under the name soil metagenome. RNAcentral describes it as "partial contains 5.8S ribosomal RNA, internal transcribed spacer 2, and large subunit ribosomal RNA". The stretch from base 1 to 122 matches the Rfam family "5.8S ribosomal RNA", at positions 35 to 154 of the family's 154-position model. The record is from RNAcentral.